UGUUAUUCAACUAAACCCAACCCAACCCAACAAAAGCAUAAUAGAUAAUAAGUUUUAUUUUAAAAUAUUGAAAUGUAUACUUAAAGUAGGUGCUUCUUGAAUACCGGGAUAAUAAAGCGUAUCCAUUAAUUAAUAAACAAAACAAUUUUGCGAAAAAUGUUAGUGAAUACCUUUAGUAAUUUUAAAUAUUUCGUAAGUGCGUGUGAUUAGGCACUACUGUCUCAGAUGUUAUAUAACAACAUCCAAUAGGGUUAUAAGCAAGUUGAUCAUUUUUUGAGGUUAAUUCUUAAUGUUUACAUGAUAAAUGUAAAUAUUUAUUGCAAUAAUGAGUGAAAUAUAUCAUGAUUAUAACGUUGAAAUUAUUUAAAUAUUAUAAUUAGUGCUUUUACCUUUGUUACAACUAUUUUUUAUUUAAUUAAAUUAUGAACGUAGUGUACGAGACUGUGAUUUUAAUAUUAUGUUGUUUAUCACUAGUGUCAUGCUUUGAUCCCUUUUCAAUAGGAACAGGAGCUGCACUUGCAGCAAGUUAUUUAUAUCAAAAUUUAAAAAAUACGGUUUGCUUUUUCAAAGAAUGCUGUACAGAAAGAGAAAUUCCUGCUAAUUUUAACAGGUUAGAAACUAGUCUAAAAGAAAAAUUGUAUGGUCAAAAUUUAGUUCAUGAUGUAGUUGUAAAUGCUUUGAAAGGACACUGGAAUGGUGAGCCUACUAAAGCUUUAACUUUGAGUUUUCAUGGAACUCCCGGUUGUGGAAAGAAUUAUGUUACAACAUUUAUUGUGGAAAGUUUAUAUGCAAAAGGAAGUGAAAGUGUUCAUGUUCAUAACUUUCUAGGAAGAAUACAUUUUCCAUUAAAAGACAAAACAGAAGAAUAUCAGCAAAAACUUUAUCAAUGGAUAAAAGGAAAUGUAACAAAAUGUGCAAGACAAAUCU
RNAcentral lists this long non-coding RNA (927 nucleotides) under Agrilus planipennis (emerald ash borer). RNAcentral's name for it is "uncharacterized LOC112906281". Lineage: Eukaryota; Metazoa; Arthropoda; Insecta; Coleoptera; Buprestidae. The record is from RNAcentral.